RNAcentral lists this ribosomal RNA (500 nucleotides) under uncultured bacterium. RNAcentral describes it as "partial 16S ribosomal RNA". It matches the Rfam family "Bacterial small subunit ribosomal RNA", at positions 28 to 523 of the family's 1533-position model. The record is from RNAcentral.
GAUGAACGCUGGCGGCGUGCUUAACACAUGCAAGUCGAACGAAGCAUUUAGAACAGAUUAUUUCGGUAUGAAGUUCUUUAGUGACUGAGUGGCGGACGGGUGAGUAACGCGUGGGUAACCUGCCUCACACAGGGGGAUAACAGUUGGAAACGGCUGCUAAUACCGCAUAAGCGCACAGUACCGCAUGGUACGGUGUGAAAAACUCCGGUGGUGUGAGAUGGACCCGCGUCUGAUUAGCUAGUUGGCAGGGCAACGGCCUACCAAGGCGACGAUCAGUAGCCGACCUGAGAGGGUGACCGGCCACAUUGGGACUGAGACACGGCCCAAACUCCUACGGGAGGCAGCAGUGGGGAAUAUUGCACAAUGGGGGAAACCCUGAUGCAGCGACGCCGCGUGAGCGAAGAAGUAUUUCGGUAUGUAAAGCUCUAUCAGCAGGGAAGAAGAAAUGACGGUACCUGACUAAGAAGCACCGGCUAAAUACGUGCCAGCAGCCGCCGUAA